UACGUAGGGAGCAAGCGUUGUCCGGAAUCAUUGGGCGUAAAGCGCGCGUAGGUGGCCAUGUAAGUCCGCUGUGAAAGUCAAAGGCUCAACCUUUGAAAGCCGGUGGGUACUGCACGGCUAGAGUACGGAAGAGGCGAGUGGAAUUCCUGGUGUAGCGGUGGAAUGCGCAGAUAUCAGGAGGAACACCAAUAGCGAAGGCAGCUCGCUGGGACGUUACUGACACUGAGGCGCGAAAGCGUGGGGAGCGAACAGG
Molecule: ribosomal RNA, 253 nt
Filed under: uncultured bacterium
Lineage: Bacteria
Description: partial 16S ribosomal RNA
Rfam family: Bacterial small subunit ribosomal RNA
Source: RNAcentral